CGGGUGAGUAAUACAUCGGAACGUACCCAGUUGUGGGGGAUAGCUCGGCGAAAGCCGGAUUAAUACCGCAUACGACCUGAGGGUGAAAGCGGGGGAUCGCAAGACCUCGCGCAGUUGGAGCGGCCGAUGUCAGAUUAGCUAGUUGGUGGGGUAAAAGCCUACCAAGGCGACGAUCUGUAGCUGGUCUGAGAGGACGACCAGCCACACUGGGACUGAGACACGGCCCAG
This 228-nucleotide ribosomal RNA is filed under the name uncultured bacterium. RNAcentral describes it as "partial 16S ribosomal RNA". It matches the Rfam family "Bacterial small subunit ribosomal RNA", at positions 103 to 334 of the family's 1533-position model. The record is from RNAcentral.